Molecule: long non-coding RNA, 950 nt
Organism: Astatotilapia calliptera (eastern happy)
Lineage: Eukaryota; Metazoa; Chordata; Actinopteri; Cichliformes; Cichlidae
Source: Ensembl
AUUUCCCUCAUGCUGUUCACUUUCACUGGAGACCGACCGCAACUGAACCUGAAACAGCCAGAUCAUCAGGACGGGAUUUUAAAAGUCCGUACAGUCUGGAGGUGUGACAUGGGUUAACGUCUGAGGCCUGGAGGAAUGUGUCCGGGUCAGCGCUGAGAAUUCCUCAGUCCUUCGAGACUAGGCUGAGGGCUUUCAUACCAGCUAUCAGUAUUCCUGAGUGAAGGAGUUUGCAGGCUCACCUCUUCAUUGGCUUGGCUAACAGCAGGGGUGACAGACAAACCCCCUGGUACUGAAGUGUUCCCACUGAUGGCAGAUGUGGUGAUUUGACAGUCUGAUCCUCACACGCUGGCUGGCUGGAAGCACGCACUUCAGACGUGCAGUUUUUAGACAUCAUGCAGAGUGCAAGGCACAUCUUCUAGACUAGGAAUGAUAAUGAGAUUGGGGGUGAUUUAAAUUUGAGAAAGAAUUGAUGUUUUUUUUGUUGUUGUUUUUUUUAAAGCAGGUGUUUGAUUUGAUAGGAAAAUACUUUCCCUAUAUAAACUGUUAGCAACAGCUCAUAGUUGAUAACGACUGAUGAGUAAUUGAUCAUUUUUAAGUAAAAUAAGGAUAUCUGCCUAAAAUAGUUGGCAAUCAAUACAAGAAUUUCAUUUAUUGCACAACUUUUUAGCUCCUUGUCAAAGUGUUUCAAUAUUUUGCAAACAAGAUUUGCUGUCUAUGUUUAGCAUCCAUUUUGUGCCAGUCAAUAUGUUGGUGGGUCGCUAAGAAAUAUCUGCAGUUCAUUUUAGUUUAGACAUUUAGUUUUCUCCUAUUUUGAUUUGUAUGACUUGAAUACAACAAAUACAAUAUAUAAGCAAUUUCAAGCAUCUUGGGCUUUAACAAUGUUCCAUUUUAGUAUUUCAACCAUUUAUAGAUAGAAUGGGAAGUAAACCAGUUUGUGAAAUAAAAAAUUA